Molecule: long non-coding RNA, 637 nt
Organism: Ipomoea triloba (trilobed morning glory)
Lineage: Eukaryota; Viridiplantae; Streptophyta; Magnoliopsida; Solanales; Convolvulaceae
Exons: 2
Source: RefSeq, a predicted model, not a curated record
UUUCUAAUACUACUACUACCAAUUUUAUAUAUACUAUUUGUAUUGCCAGUACAGUGCAACCACCUUAUUUCCACCCAAAUCUCUUACCCUAAAAGGCCUACCCCCAUCCCAUUUCUGUAAUUCCACUCUUUUUUUUUCCUGUCAACUUUCAAACCAAUCUUGGAAAUUUGCAAACCAAGAUAGAUAAAUACACCCCCCUUACCCCCUAUUCUUCUUCCAUUCUAGAAUUUUCUUAUACCUCUUUUGUAAGCCAAGCAUAAGGGACCAACCUUUGUUUCUCUUUUUGUUAUAUUUUGGUGGGGUGAUUGCAUUAUAUUGUUGUAUUUGGGGAUUUAAUUCUCUGGUAAAAAAGAUUGGUUAUGCAGGAGUGUGAUAGAGAAGCUUUCUUCUGCCACAAACUGCAAAUUUCUCUCACCAUCACAGCUAUAUGAUGAGGUGUUAUAGUCACAGCAUUAAAGCAUUCAACCUGAAUUUAUAGUACCUGGCUUCAAUUUUAGGGGACAAAAAUCUGCAUUGGAUCUGAUUUAGGGAAUAUUGAAGAGGCAAUACGCAAUACAUACCUCGAAUCCGAGAUUUUGAAUCACAUUGAUCUCCAGAAUCAAGCGGUUUCCAGUAUCCGAUUUUGAGUAAGAGAAAA